This 301-nucleotide ribosomal RNA is filed under the name uncultured bacterium. RNAcentral's name for it is "partial 16S ribosomal RNA". It matches the Rfam family "Bacterial small subunit ribosomal RNA", at positions 509 to 807 of the family's 1533-position model. The record is from RNAcentral.
CAGUAGCCGCGGUAAUACGAAGGGGGCUAGCGUUGCUCGGAAUGACUGGGCGUAAAGGGCGCGUAGGCGGCGGCCAAAGUCUGGCGUGAAAUUCCCGGGCUCAACCUGGGGGCUGCGUUUGAUACUCGGUUGCUUGAGUGGGGAAGAGGGUCGUGGAAUUCUCAGUGUAGAGGUGAAAUUCGUAGAUAUUGGGAAGAACACCGAUGGCGAAGGCGGCGACCUGGUCCUUUACUGACGCUGAGGCGCGAAAGCGUGGGGAGCAAAUGGGAUUAGAGACCCCAGUAGUCCCUGUCUCUUAUAC